AAAUGCCUACGGGGCGCAGCAGUGGGGGAUAUUGCACAAUGGGGGAAACCCUGAUGCAGCGACGCCGCGCGGGUGAAGAAGCGCCUCGGCGCGUAAAGCCCUGUCAGCAGGGAAGAAAAUGACGGUACCUGAAGAAGAAGCCCCGGCUAACUACGUGCUAGCAGCCGCGGUAAUACGUAGGGGGCAAGCGUUAUCCGGAUUUACUGGGUGUAAAGGGGGCGCAGACGGCGAUGCAAGCCAGGAGUGAAAGCCCGGGGCCCAACCCCGGGACUGCUCUUGGAACUGCGUGGCUAGAGUGCAGGAGG
RNAcentral lists this ribosomal RNA (305 nucleotides) under uncultured bacterium. RNAcentral describes it as "bacterial SSU rRNA". It matches the Rfam family "Bacterial small subunit ribosomal RNA", at positions 333 to 655 of the family's 1533-position model. The record is from RNAcentral.